Molecule: ribosomal RNA, 253 nt
Filed under: uncultured bacterium
Lineage: Bacteria
Description: partial 16S ribosomal RNA
Rfam family: Bacterial small subunit ribosomal RNA
Source: RNAcentral
UACGUAGGGAGCAAGCGUUGUCCGGAAUCAUUGGGCGUAAAGCGCGCGUAGGUGGCCACAUAAGUCCGUUGUGAAAGUCAAAGGCUCAACCUUUGAAAGCCGAUGGAUACUGUGUGGCUAGAGUACGGAAGAGGCGAGUGGAAUUCCUGGUGUAGCGGUGGAAUGCGCAGAUAUCAGGAGGAACACCAAUAGCGAAGGCAGGUCUCUGGGCCAUAACUGACGCUGAGAAGCGAAAGCAUGGGGAGCGAACAGG